AGCCGCAUGGUGUAGUGGUUUGAGCAUUGGACUACGAAUCUGGAGACCAGGGCUCAGAUCCCUGCUCGGCUG
Molecule: non-coding RNA, 72 nt
Organism: Phrynosoma platyrhinos (Desert horned lizard)
Lineage: Eukaryota; Metazoa; Chordata; Lepidosauria; Squamata; Phrynosomatidae
Source: the annotation of a GenBank genome assembly